RNAcentral lists this ribosomal RNA (1345 nucleotides) under uncultured bacterium. Its description in RNAcentral is "partial 16S ribosomal RNA". It matches the Rfam family "Bacterial small subunit ribosomal RNA", at positions 28 to 1381 of the family's 1533-position model. The record is from RNAcentral.
GACGAACGCUGGCGGCGUGCUUAACACAUGCAAGUCGAACGGAAAGGCCCUGCUUUUGUGGGGUGCUCGAGUGGCGAACGGGUGAGUAACACGUGAGUAACCUGCCCUUGACUUUGGGAUAACUUCAGGAAACUGGGGCUAAUACCGGAUAGGAGCUCCUGCUGCAUGGUGGGGGUUGGAAAGUUUCGGCGGUUGGGGAUGGACUCGCGGCUUAUCAGCUUGUUGGUGGGGUAGUGGCUUACCAAGGCUUUGACGGGUAGCCGGCCUGAGAGGGUGACCGGCCACAUUGGGACUGAGAUACGGCCCAGACUCCUACGGGAGGCAGCAGUGGGGAAUAUUGCACAAUGGGCGGAAGCCUGAUGCAGCAACGCCGCGUGCGGGAUGACGGCCUUCGGGUUGUAAACCGCUUUCGCCUGUGACGAAGCGUGAGUGACGGUAAUGGGUAAAGAAGCACCGGCUAACUACGUGCCAGCAGCCGCGGUGAUACGUAGGGUGCGAGCGUUGUCCGGAUUUAUUGGGCGUAAAGGGCUCGUAGGUGGUUGAUCGCGUCGGAAGUGUAAUCUUGGGGCUUAACCCUGAGCGUGCUUUCGAUACGGGUUGACUUGAGGAAGGUAGGGGAGAAUGGAAUUCCUGGUGGAGCGGUGGAAUGCGCAGAUAUCAGGAGGAACACCAGUGGCGAAGGCGGUUCUCUGGGCCUUUCCUGACGCUGAGGAGCGAAAGCGUGGGGAGCGAACAGGCUUAGAUACCCUGGUAGUCCACGCUGUAAACGGUGGGUACUAGGUGUGGGGUCCAUUCCACGGGUUCCGUGCCGUAGCUAACGCUUUAAGUACCCCGCCUGGGGAGUACGGCCGCAAGGCUAAAACUCAAAGGAAUUGACGGGGCCCCGCACAAGCGGCGGAGCAUGCGGAUUAAUUCGAUGCAACGCGUAGAACCUUACCUGGGUUUGACAUGGAUCGGGAGUGCUCAGAGAUGGGUGUGCCUCUUUUGGGGUCGGUUCACAGGUGGUGCAUGGCUGUCGUCAGCUCGUGUCGUGAGAUGUUGGGUUAAGUCCCGCAACGAGCGCAACCCUUGUUCACUGUUGCCAGCACGUUAUGGUGGGGACUCAGUGGAGACCGCCGGGGUCAACUCGGAGGAAGGUGGGGAUGACGUCAAGUCAUCAUGCCCCUUAUGUCCAGGGCUUCACGCAUGCUACAAUGGCUGGUACAGAGAGUGGCGAGCCUGUGAGGGUGAGCGAAUCUCGGAAAGCCGGUCUCAGUCCGGAUUGGGGUCUGCAACUCGACCUCAUGAAGUCGGAGUCGCUAGUAAUCGCAGAUCAGCAACGCUGCGGAAAUACGUUCCCGGGGCU